UAAGGAAUAUUGGUCAAUGGAGGCAACUCUGAACCAAGCCAUGCCGCGUGCAGGAAGACCGGCCCUAUGGGUUGUAAACUGCUUUUACCAGGGAAUAAACCCCUUUACGUGUAGUGGGCUGAAUGUACCUGAUGAAUAAGGAUCGGCUAACUCCGUGCCAGCAGCCGCGGUAAUACGGAGGAUCCGAGCGUUAUCCGGAAUUAUUGGGUUUAAAGGGUGCGUAGGCGGCCUGAUAAGUCAGGGGUGAAAGACGGUGGCUCAACCAUCGCAGUGCCUUUGAUACUGUCGGGCUUGAAUGUACUUGAGGUAGGCGGAAUGUGACAAGUAGCGGUGAAAUGCAUAGAUAUGUCACAGAACACCGAUUGCGAAGGCAGCUUACUAAAGUAUGAUUGACGCUGAGGCACGAAAGCGUGGGGAUCAAACAGGAUUAGAUACCCUGGUAGUCCACGCCCUAAACGAUGAAUACUCGAUGUUGGCGAUAUACAGUCAGCGUCCAAGCGAAAGCGUUAAGUAUUCCACCUGGGGAGUACGGCCGCAAGGUUG
Molecule: ribosomal RNA, 543 nt
Filed under: uncultured bacterium
Lineage: Bacteria
Description: bacterial SSU rRNA
Rfam family: Bacterial small subunit ribosomal RNA
Source: RNAcentral